AGAUUUGCAGCUCCUGACAGUUAACUAUAAGGCCCGCCCCCUUUAUCAAGUCUACCUCGUUUAUGAUUGUCAGAUAAAAAUUGAUCAAAUCCUGAAAUUCUGAUUUUGGGGGAUUGGGUGUGCACUUGGCAUAUACUCGGUUAGAAUGCUCCACCUGCUGCCCCUCCCACCUGUGCUUCCCCGCCUCCAUCACAGGUAUAUAUUUUCUGGUUCAGAAUCACAGAUCUGUGCUGUGGCUGCGUUCAUUCGAGGUCAGCAGUUCACACAGACACUACCAGUCUGAAGCAUCCUGCCUUGGGUCUGUGAAGAGUGACACAAUCAAAAUGGAUCCUAAAAAAUCCAAAACGGAACCAAGACCUUCAGACUCAAAGGUUCAACAGAGACAUGGACCUGGGUCUGGAUCCAGCUGUGUGUCCUCCAAGAGUGAUGACUCAAAGGGUUUGACUCCUAACUUACAAGGCAUAAGUUCAGGAGUGGAACAGUAAGUAUUUGUCAGAGCCAACGGGGGUUGGAUAAUAGUUCAGAUUAUCAAUAGUUUUCAGCUGAAUGACUUGAGGGGCUCUACCAUGAAAAUUCGUCUUUUUGAGGUUUUAAGUACAUUAUACUCUUCAUUCCUCACUAUAAAGAAGCUCAAAGUGUUUUUUUUUAUUUGUUCAUGCAUUUAAGAGUAAUCCUCUAAAAACCUGCGCUGUCUGCAGCAGCCCCUCCCAUACCCACGAAAACGAGCGGAUGGAAACAUGCUGACGUAAGCACGAUGCCAACUGCUCCCUCCAGGAAGAGUCUGCUCUGAUAGCACUCUCCCCAGUCUUACACGAACACUCAAUAUCUCCACUGAACCAGCGGUGAUCAGCUAAAAAAUGUUCAUGUUGUUCUGUAAACCACUGUAGCAAUGGCCAGACCUACUAAAGGCAGAUAUAUUGUACGUGCAUCCAUCUUUGAAGAAGUUUGGAUUAUUUUCGUGGGUCAAAUGCAGACACACUGCCACAGACUCUAGGAUGACAUCAUGAAUUCGACAGCAGCCACAUACAGUGGCAGGUGGA
This is a long non-coding RNA of Oryzias melastigma (Indian medaka), 1040 nucleotides long. RefSeq lists it as uncharacterized. The record is from RefSeq and is a predicted model, not a curated record. The transcript has 3 exons. Lineage: Eukaryota; Metazoa; Chordata; Actinopteri; Beloniformes; Adrianichthyidae.